AGAGGACAGAAUUGAAGGGGAGGGCAAGGAUUUUUGGAAUGCACUUGGGAAUUCCAAGUUCAGCCCUGCUCUGUUGCCCUGCUCUGUCCCCUGCUCCCAUUUCCAGCCCCACGACCCCUUUGGGAUGAAGCAGCUUGGGUGUCUAAUUGUGUUGGUUCUAAGGCUGCCACUCUUCUGGUUAUGUCUCACAUGUUGUUAGAAAAUUGAUAACCUCAUCCCAGAACUGCACAUUGUAUUUACAGUGGUUCUCUGUACCCCCAUUUCCUAGUCACAAACGACUUCACUUCUGACUUCAUUUUUUAUUCAUAGGUGAUAGUAGUGAUCAUCUUUGUCUAAUAAGCUCCUAAUUGAGAAGUGAGCAGAAUACAUCUGUAUCAACUCCCAGUGCUGUACAUUUUCUAGCCAUUUCCUAGCUAUUUGUAGCAUCGGUUUUUUGUUUUUGUUUUUUUGCUUUGAUAUAAUAUUCCGUGUUUAACUGGUUUGAUAAAUUAGGGUAAAAGUUGAGAUACUAAAAAUAGAUGUGUUGCUACUAAAAUGCUAAACAUGGUUUCAGUUCAGUAUCUUAUGAAAAACAAAGUUCAGUAUGAAAUCUGUUUAGUAAUAAAGUUAGACUGUCUAGGGACAUCACCAUGUCUAUCAGUUCUUACCUAUUUGAGUCCUACUUAGAAAUCCUUAAAAACAUUUUUAGAAUGCACAUGGUUUUGUCUAAAUUAAACUUCUAGUUUCCAGGGUCAAAAUACUUAUCCAUAAUGUCUGAAGGACUUGGUAUAAUUUAACAAUAUCCUGAAUCUAAUUUCUCAACACUAAAGAAGUUCUGACUAUGACUACAUAAGCUUCUACAUCUGAGAACCCAUGCCAAGUUCUUGCUCCCUUGGCCUGCUUUUCCGUUUACAAAAAGUGGGGGUGGGAGCAGUAGGAUGAUUCCUUCUGUGUUUCUUAAAGGUGUUUUCAGUAUAAUCAUGUUUAUUUUCCAUGUGCUAGAAGUGGGGACUGGAUCUUUGCCAUUUCCUGAACAGUUAAUUAGCAAGCUGCUUACCUGCAGUGAUCUGCAAAUUCAUUGAUGCCACACCCUGCUCUCCUGAAGGGUUGUCAUGGUGGCUGCAGGCAAAGACUGAACAGGCAGAUUCAGAGUUCAGAAAACAGCGUAUUCCUGAGCGGGACUAGAUGUCUUUUUGCUUUCUAAUACAAAGUCCAGAUCAUUUGAACUCAGACUUCGGAGAUUAGCAUAACUGUCUUGAUAAGUUUGCUCUCUUUACGUCUCUCUGUAACAAGGUCUUUCUGCCUGUGGUAGCCCUCCGGAGAAGUGAUGUGCAGAAGAGAUCACCAGGAAGAACGUGCCAGAAUGAUUGCUUUUAUUUAAAAUCUACCAUCCAUUAACUUAAAGGUUAAGCUGCCACCUACAUUUGGCAAUGUUAUAUGCUUCUAACAGUGUUUUCUCACUGUUAAAAUGUUUGUGCAUAUAAUUUAAGAUUAUAGAGUAUACCUACUCCAUGAGCAAUAGUAUAAAUAUUUUACCAUAGGGCUAAUACUGCAGACCUUUCUUCCUAAAGCAGUAAAGUAUCUUGGACCAAAUUUCCCUGGUUAUAUUACCACAUACAUUUAUCUCCUAUUAAAGUUUAUAUUGACUUUAGAUAACAUUUCCAGUAGUUGAAAGAUGCUAAUGAAAUAUAAAGGGCAACUUGCAGUCUGAUAAAAUUACACGAUGAGGUGCUUCAGCUGUUGAACACAGUGAAGUAACUGCUGAGCUGGUUAUGUCCCUUAUGAUUUUAUUUGUAUUGAGUUCAUUUGAAUCUUUCAAGUUGACCCUGUGUGUCUGCUUUGUUUCAGUGGCCUUAGCAGAGGUGUGCAGUACCCUUUCGUUUACGAGAUUAGGGGAGUACCACAAAUCUAAAACCUAAGAAUAAAGGGUGAGAUUAAAGCAUGUUACUCUGACUCUACAUCAUUUUGGGUAAAAUGUGAUCUUCAUUACUACUUUCAUAUAUAUAGGUUUCUAAAAUUUGUUGAAAUCAGUCAUUAACGCUGGACCAGAAGAGUUCAGGUGGAUUAAUCUGUCAUCACUGUGGGCUCUUGGGGGUAUGGCUGGCUUGAGUCUGUUUAGAUUGCUUCCAAGCCCUUUCUGUUGAUUUUGUCCAUUUUCUCUACAGCUCCUAUGAGUUGGUGUUACAUUGCUAUUGACCAAAAGCCUGAACUGCCCUAGAUAUUUAAAUUCUAAUAUUUACUUGCCAGGCGCUAAUGGACACAAUCAUAACCCAAAAUGAAAAUAUAGUAAAUCAAAUAGCUUUUUUUCUGCUGUGAAUUCAGCUGGCAUCUGGAUAUUUGAAUAGACCAAUUAAAAAUACAAGUAUCUUGGCAACUUCAUUGCUACAUCUUAGUGUUUAAAUUACAGCAGUAUUAGAGAUAUAAACCAAACAUACCUUAUCUAACAUCCCCCAAAACUCAUCAAUUCUAAUUCUAGUUAGAAAGUCUUCAAGACUCCUGUCUAAAGCUUUGAUUUGUAAUAAAUAGGAUUAACUAAGUUUGUGCAUUUAUGAAUAGAAUCUUUAACAGUUUUUAAGAACUCUGCAAAGGAUAGCAUUGGUUAUUAACUUGAUAAUUUCAUUAAAUUUUUUUCUUGAGACAGGGUCUCACUCUGUCGCCCAGGCUGGAGUGCAGUGGUGUGUGUGAUCUCGGCUCACCGUAGCCUCCGCCUCUGGGGCUCAAGCGCUUCUCCGGGCUCGGCCUUUCAAAGUGCUGGGACUACACGCGUGUGAGGCACUGUGCCUGGCCAACUUGAUAAUUUCAAUAGCAAAACGGUAUCCUAUAGAAGGCUUGUUUCUUAGUUGGUAUAAGUUGCUAAGUAAUCAUUAAUUCAACUCGAUAAACCUGGUGGGUUUUGUGUUUCGUUCGUGUCAUUUGUGAAGCCCGACAGGAAGAGUGGAGCCCUGCGCUGUGUGCGUGCGUUUUAAAGCGUGCUGGAAACGUCUACAAUGGCAGCGCAGCCAGCAGCCACGCGGCCUUGGCCACCCCCGAGCUCACGGCCGCAGCUCGGCCCGGGCCCCCUGGACGUCCGCCCUGGGCAGGGGCCGCCGCCUCCGAACGCAUCUCUGCCUCCCUAGGACGAGGCAGCCGAGGGAGGAGAGCGGCCAGGACUGCGCUGUGGCUGGACGGCGGAUGAGGCUUCUUUCAACAAGCUGCUGCCCUGGGCGCACUGCCUUGCGGGUCACUGUGGCUGCUCCUGUGCUUCAGCGGGACUAGAAGCUGCCGCCCACGGGCAGCGGGGAAGAAAUCUGGGCAAAGCCAUGAGCCCUCCGAGGCUGAGCUCCAGUUUAGGGGCUCACCUGCCUUGCAUCGUUCCGAGUCCUGUACUGGACUGCAUCAGGCCGCGUCUCCUCAGGAAAGGAAAGGGGAUGCCCCUGAGGAGACUCGGUGCUCCCCACAGAACUCCCCAGCGAUCCCAGAUGGGAGAAGCUGAGCUGCGCGGGCGCUGCCCUCACUCCGGGGGUGAAACGUGGCUGUGAUUUCCACAGGUGACAGAAACCAGGCAGUGAUUCAACUCGUAUUUGACUUUCACAUUCUCCAGCAAUGUUCUUCAAUCUGGGAAGGGUAGAAAAUUAAAGAAAGGUAAGGAGAGUUAAAAAAUGAGAUCAUUUCAAAGUAGAUGCAGUCUUGAAGCCCAAAUGAAUUACGAGAUCCAGUUUGAAAGCUGCUGCAGAAGUGAUUUCAGAAUCGCGCGGUGGCUCCGGAAUGGGGAACUGCUGCUGAAAGAGGUCGGAAAGGGUGGGGACUGAAUUUCGGGUAAGAGGACGCCAGUGGUUCUGGAGCACGCGGCCUUCAGCCAUGCCUGCGUUCACAAGUACAUUAUUUCAGACUCACUCCAAGUUUACAUCUCUAAGCCCAUCCAAGCCAUGGCAGCGCGAACCUCUCCCUCCCCCAGCUCAAGGCCUCUGGGCCCCCAGGACAGAGGACAGAAGAGCCAGCCCCUCCUGGCUCAGGGUUGCCGGGACCCCGUGAUGGCUGCUGUGCCUCUCCUGAGGUGCCAGGUGAGAGCUGAGACUUCUGCUCCCGCUGCACCAGCUCCGUUUGUCUCCAGGCGCAGUGUCAGUCUCGUUCUUUAAGCGCUUCUGAGGUCCCAUCAGCACAGGUCUCGUCUUACCUGGAAAGGCUUGUUGCCUUGUGCCUGGGACUUUUUAUUCUGUG
Molecule: long non-coding RNA, 4176 nt
Filed under: Homo sapiens (human)
Lineage: Eukaryota; Metazoa; Chordata; Mammalia; Primates; Hominidae
Description: HSALNT0395453
Source: RNAcentral